CGCGAGUCCUCGCCCCCCACCUGCUGCCAGCCUCUAGCCUGCGAGAAGCUCGGACCCGACGUGGAUGCGGAGUUCGGGUGUUUAGGAAUCUGGCCCCGGCCCAGCUUGACUGAACCCAGAACCACCAGCCAGCCGCCAAAGGAUGGCACCACCCACAAUGGGCUGGGUCCUCCACAUCAAAGCUACUUAAGAAAAUUCCCCACAGGCUUGCCGACAGCCUGAUUUAUGAAGUCCCCAGGCUCAGGACUCUAAAGGAAAGGCCUGUUUCUUCUGUGCUAAGUCUGAAGAAAAGAGAAUGUGAAGAUUGGAGCCACUUGUGACCAACUCAGAAGUCCAAGGACAACCUCUAGAGCGACCCAGAAGCUGGAAAGUAGAGUUCAGCCAGCUCUAGAGAGAGAGGACACUAUGGCAAUGACCUGUGCCUCAAGCCACAUGGAAGCAGACAUCACCUGGAUCUUGACUGUCAACGAGCCAGCAAAUUCCUUCUCUGCCUUUGUAGUUGGGGUUGGCUUUUCUGUCGUUUAUUAAAAACAAAGUGUAUCAGUCACUUACAAGUCU
Peromyscus maniculatus bairdii (prairie deer mouse) is the source of this 558-nucleotide non-coding RNA. Lineage: Eukaryota; Metazoa; Chordata; Mammalia; Rodentia; Cricetidae. The record is from RefSeq and is a predicted model, not a curated record.